GCGGGACAUUAGCUAGUUGGCGGGGUAACGGCCCACCAAGGCGACGAUGUCUAGGGGAUCUGAGAGGAUGGCCCCCCACACUGGUACUGAGACACGGACCAGACUCCUACGGGAGGCAGCAGUAAGGAAUAUUGGUCAAUGGGCGCAAGCCUGAACCAGCCAUGCCGCGUGCAGGAAGACGGCCCUACGGGUUGUAAACUGCUUUUGUACCGGAAUAAACCUUUGGUCGUGACCGAAGCUGAAUGUACGGUAAGAAUAAGGAUCGGCUAACUCCGUGCCAGCAGCCGCGGUAAUACGGAGGAUCCAAGCGUUAUCCGGAUUUAUUGGGUUUAAAGGGUGCGUAGGUGGCCUAUUAAGUCAGGGGUGAAAGACGGUAGCUUAACUAUCGCAGUGCCUUUGAUACUGAUGGGCUUGAAUACAGAUGAAGUGGGCGGAAUGUGACAAGUAGCGGUGAAAUGCAUAGAUAUGUCACAGAACACCGAUUGCGAAGGCAGCUCACUAAAUUGUGAUUGACACUGAGGCACGAAAGCGUGGGGAUCAAACAGGAUUAGAUACCCUGGUAGUCCACGCCCUAAACGAUGAAUACUCGAUGUUGGCGAUAUACGGUCAGCGUCUAAGCGAAAGCGUUAAGUAUUCCACCUGGGGAGUACGCCCGCAAGGGUGAAACUCAAAGGAAUUGACGGGGGCCCGCACAAGCGGAGGAGCAUGUGGUUUAAUUCGAUGAUACGCGAGGAACCUUACCCGGGCUUGAAAGUUAGUGAAUGAUUCAGAGACGAAUCAGUCCUUCGGGACACGAAACUAGGUGCUGCAUGGCUGUCGUCAGCUCGUGCCGUGAGGUGUUGGGUUAAGUCCCGCAACGAGCGCAACCCCUAUGUUUAGUUGCCAGCACGUCAAGGUGGGGACUCUAAACAGACUGCCUACGCAAGUAGAGAGGAAGGAGGGGACGACGUCAAGUCAUCAUGGCCCUUACGUCCGGGGCUACACACGUGCUACAAUGGAUGGUACAGAGGGCUGCUACCUGGCAACAGGAUGCCAAUCUCUAAAAGCCAUUCACAGUUCGGAUCGGGGUCUGCAACUCGACCCCGUGAAGUUGGAUUCGCUAGUAAUCGCGUAUCAGCAAUGACGCGGUGAAUACGUUCCCGGGCCUUGU
Molecule: ribosomal RNA, 1150 nt
Filed under: Mucilaginibacter terrae
Lineage: Bacteria; Pseudomonadati; Bacteroidota; Sphingobacteriia; Sphingobacteriales; Sphingobacteriaceae
Description: bacterial SSU rRNA
Rfam family: Bacterial small subunit ribosomal RNA
Source: RNAcentral